Molecule: ribosomal RNA, 1197 nt
Filed under: Clostridium botulinum
Lineage: Bacteria; Bacillati; Bacillota; Clostridia; Eubacteriales; Clostridiaceae
Description: bacterial SSU rRNA
Rfam family: Bacterial small subunit ribosomal RNA
Source: RNAcentral
CCCGCGGCGCAUUAGCUAGUUGGUAAGGUAACGGCUUACCAAGGCAACGAUGCGUAGCCGACCUGAGAGGGUGAUCGGCCACAUUGGAACUGAGACACGGUCCAGACUCCUACGGGAGGCAGCAGUGGGGAAUAUUGCGCAAUGGGGGAAACCCUGACGCAGCAACGCCGCGUGGGUGAUGAAGGUCUUCGGAUUGUAAAGCCCUGUUUUCUAGGACGAUAAUGACGGUACUAGAGGAGGAAGCCACGGCUAACUACGUGCCAGCAGCCGCGGUAAUACGUAGGUGGCGAGCGUUGUCCGGAUUUACUGGGCGUAAAGGGUGCGUAGGCGGAUGUUUAAGUGGGAUGUGAAAUCCCCGGGCUUAACCUGGGGGCUGCAUUCCAAACUGGAUAUCUAGAGUGCAGGAGAGGAAAGCGGAAUUCCUAGUGUAGCGGUGAAAUGCGUAGAGAUUAGGAAGAACACCAGUGGCGAAGGCGGCUUUCUGGACUGUAACUGACGCUGAGGCACGAAAGCGUGGGUAGCAAACAGGAUUAGAUACCCUGGUAGUCCACGCCGUAAACGAUGGAUACUAGGUGUAGGGGGUAUCAACUCCCCCUGUGCCGCAGUUAACACAAUAAGUAUCCCGCCUGGGGAGUACGGUCGCAAGAUUAAAACUCAAAGGAAUUGACGGGGGCCCGCACAAGCAGCGGAGCAUGUGGUUUAAUUCGAAGCAACGCGAAGAACCUUACCUGGACUUGACAUCCCUUGCAUAGCCUAGAGAUAGGUGAAGCCCUUCGGGGCAAGGAGACAGGUGGUGCAUGGUUGUCGUCAGCUCGUGUCGUGAGAUGUUAGGUUAAGUCCUGCAACGAGCGCAACCCUUGUUAUUAGUUGCUACCAUUAAGUUGAGCACUCUAAUGAGACUGCCUGGGUAACCAGGAGGAAGGUGGGGAUGACGUCAAAUCAUCAUGCCCCUUAUGUCCAGGGCUACACACGUGCUACAAUGGUAGGUACAAUAAGACGCAAGACCGUGAGGUGGAGCAAAACUUAUAAAACCUAUCUCAGUUCGGAUUGUAGGCUGCAACUCGCCUACAUGAAGCUGGAGUUGCUAGUAAUCGCGAAUCAGAAUGUCGCGGUGAAUACGUUCCCGGGCCUUGUACACACCGCCCGUCACACCAUGAGAGCUGGUAACACCCGAAGUCCGUGAGGUAACCGUAAGGA